GUGGGGAAUCUUCCGCAAUGGACGAAAGUCUGACGGAGCGACGCCGCGUGAGUGAUGAAGGCCUUCGGGUCGUAAAGCUCUGUCAUCGGGGACGAACGGCCUCAGCAGGUAAUGGCUGGGGAUUGACGGUACCCGAGAAGGAAGCCACGGCUAACUACGUGCCAGCAGCCGCGGUAAUACGUAGGUGGCAAGCGUUGUCCGGAAUUAUUGGGCGUAAAGCGCGCGCAGGUGGGAUCUUAAGUCCAUUUUGAAAGUUCGGAGCUCAACUCCGUGAUGGGAUGGAAACUGGGAGUCUUGAGUACCGGAGAGGAAAGCGGAAUUCCCCGUGUAGCGGUGAAAUGCGUAGAUAUGGGGAGGAACACCAGUGGCGAAGGCGGCUUUCUGGACGGUGUCUGACACUGAGGCGCGAAAGCCAGGGGAGCGAACGGGAUUAGAAACCCCUGUAGUCC
Molecule: ribosomal RNA, 449 nt
Filed under: uncultured bacterium
Lineage: Bacteria
Description: partial 16S ribosomal RNA
Rfam family: Bacterial small subunit ribosomal RNA
Source: RNAcentral